GACGAACGCUGGCGGCGUGCCUAAUACAUGCAAGUAGAACGCUGAAGGAGGAGCUUGCUUCUCUGGAUGAGUUGCGAACGGGUGAGUAACGCGUAGGUAACCUGCCUGGUAGCGGGGGAUAACUAUUGGAAACGAUAGCUAAUGCCGCAUAAUAGUAGAUGUUGCAUGACAUUUGCUUAAAAGGUGCAAUUGCAUCACUACCAGAUGGACCUGCGUUGUAUUAGCUAGUUGGUGGGGUAACGGCUCACCAAGGCGACGAUACAUAGCCGACCUGAGAGGGUGAUCGGCCACACUGGGACUGAGACACGGCCCAGACUCCUACGGGAGGCAGCAGUAGGGAAUCUUCGGCAAUGGACGGAAGUCUGACCGAGCAACGCCGCGUGAGUGAAGAAGGUUUUCGGAUCGUAAAGCUCUGUUGUAAGAGAAGAACGAGUGUGAGAGUGGAAAGUUCACACUGUGACGGUAUCUUACCAGAAAGGGACGGCUAACUACGUG
Molecule: ribosomal RNA, 495 nt
Filed under: uncultured bacterium
Lineage: Bacteria
Description: partial 16S ribosomal RNA
Rfam family: Bacterial small subunit ribosomal RNA
Source: RNAcentral